RNAcentral lists this ribosomal RNA (253 nucleotides) under uncultured bacterium. RNAcentral describes it as "partial 16S ribosomal RNA". It matches the Rfam family "Bacterial small subunit ribosomal RNA", at positions 524 to 776 of the family's 1533-position model. The record is from RNAcentral.
UACAGAGGUCUCGAGCGUUGUUCGGAAUCACUGGGCGUAAAGGGUGCGUAGGCGGCACGGUAAGUCAGAGGUGAAAUCCCGGAGCUCAACUUCGGAAUUGCCUCCGAUACUGCCGUGCUUGAGGACUGGAGAGGAGAUUGGAAUUCACAGUGGAGCAGUGAAAUGCGUAGAUAUUGUGAGGAACACUAGUGGCGAAGGCGAAUCUCUGGGCCUAUCCUGACGCUGAGGAGCGAAAGCAUGGGUAGCGAACAGG